Long non-coding RNA from Ornithodoros turicata, 463 nucleotides. RefSeq lists it as uncharacterized. NCBI's taxonomy places the organism in Eukaryota, Metazoa, Arthropoda, Arachnida, Ixodida, Argasidae. The record is from RefSeq and is a predicted model, not a curated record. The transcript is spliced from 2 exons.
UAUAGAGAGGAAAAAGCUUGCCGAAAAAAAUGAAGAGGACGAAAAUGCGUGCGAGAGGACAUACUAGUCCGCACCUGCCGUCGUAGCGUAUUCAUCCAGCUUGGCAAGAGACAGCUCUGGCAAUCAAGAGGGUACAUCACCAAGCACUCGAGGAAAGGCUAUCUACUGCCCGCUUACGCUGCUGUGGAGAAGACAAAGGCAUUUAUAUCCAAGGACGGCCUCUUAACAGUGCAUAUACCGAUGAAGGACUACACGAUCUCCACGGGAGAACAGAUACACGUUGCAGAAGUACCACGAGGUGUCUUCGGCGCUAAUGGUGUAGCGGUUUCGGUGCCUGUGCUCAAGGUACGAUCCUUUAAGUCGAAAUCACGAAGACGACAUUACAAUGAGCAAGAUUAGAUAACACCCAAGAUAAUACCAGAUAUAUGUUAUACAAUGAAUAAAACCCAAUCAAUUACCUUUA